RNAcentral lists this ribosomal RNA (467 nucleotides) under uncultured bacterium. RNAcentral's name for it is "partial 16S ribosomal RNA". It matches the Rfam family "Bacterial small subunit ribosomal RNA", at positions 28 to 507 of the family's 1533-position model. The record is from RNAcentral.
GACGAACGCUGGCGGCGUGCUUAACACAUGCAAGUCGAACGGAAAGGCCCUGCUUUUGUGGGGUGCUCGAGUGGCGAACGGGUGAGUAACACGUGAGUAACCUGCCCUUGACUUUGGGAUAACUUCAGGAAACUGGGGCUAAUACCGGAUAGGAGCUCCUGCUGCAUGGUGGGGGUUGGAAAGUUUCGGCGGUUGGGGAUGGACUCGCGGCUUAUCAGCUUGUUGGUGGGGUAGUGGCUUACCAAGGCUUUGACGGGUAGCCGGCCUGAGAGGGUGACCGGCCAAAUGGGACUGGGGUACCGGCCCGGAUCCUUACGGGGGGAAGAGGGGGGAAAUAUGCAAAAAGGGGCGGAGCCUGAAGGAAGCAACCCCGGGGGCGGAAGGACGGCUUUCGGGUGGAAACCGGCUUUGGCUUGUAAGGAAGCGUGAGGACGGGAAAUGGGAAAAGAAGCACCGCCAAACUCGUG